RNAcentral lists this ribosomal RNA (446 nucleotides) under uncultured bacterium. RNAcentral's name for it is "bacterial SSU rRNA". It matches the Rfam family "Bacterial small subunit ribosomal RNA", at positions 330 to 793 of the family's 1533-position model. The record is from RNAcentral.
CCCAGACUCCUACGGGAGGCAGCAGUGGGGAAUAUUGCACAAUGGGGGAAACCCUGAUGCAGCGACGCCACGUGAGUGAAGAAGUAUUUCGGUAUGUAAAGCUCUAUCAGCAGGGAAGAUAAUGACGGUACCUGAGUAAGAAGCCCCGGCUAACUACGUGCCAGCAGCCGCGGUAAUACGUAGGGGGCAAGCGUUAUCCGGAUUUACUGGGUGUAAAGGGAGCGUAGACGGCAUGGCAAGUCUGAAGUGAAAGCCCGGGGCUCAACCGCGGGACUGCUUUGGAAACUGUUAAGCUGGAGUGCAGGAGAGGUAAGUGGAAUCCCUAGUGUAGCGGUGAAAUGCGUAGAUAUUAGGAGGAACACCAGUGGCGAAGGCGGCUUACUGGACUGUAACUGACGUUGAGGCUCGAAAGCGUGGGGAGCAAACAGGAUUAGAUACCCCAGUAC